This 1123-nucleotide long non-coding RNA is filed under the name Volvox carteri. Its description in RNAcentral is "long non-coding RNA (VCAR_LNC000726)". Lineage: Eukaryota; Viridiplantae; Chlorophyta; Chlorophyceae; Chlamydomonadales; Volvocaceae. The record is from RNAcentral.
CUACGAUGCUUUUGUCUGGAGCCGCAUAUGUACGUAAUCUGACGCCGCAAGGACGCAAACGGGCAAAGGUUCCGAAAGCGAAACUUUAACAUGUUUUCGGUAGCCCAGCUCUCACUGCCACACUGUAACCUAUGAAUAAAGCACUAAAUCGUGUUGGGGUAACUGAAUAUGCAAUAAAACUUAGACGCAGGGAUGCACUUCGCGCAUCAGAGCUCCGAUAGCGGCAUAAUGCAAAUAUAUCCCUUGAUUGGUGCUGGAGUUACAUCUUCCUUUUACACUGCCAUUUCGGCGCCCUCGCGUGCUACUUCAAUGCCGCACUGCGAAACCGUACUGCACGACCUCUACAUGUUCUGUAAUGCGUUACCAAGGACUAUAGCCAUGAAGAUAGAAGUUGGCCUACAUUUUGGCUAGGAAAUUACAAAAGGAGGUCCAUGGUAAGGCCGUGUCCAAAAGAAUCACUGUAAUCAUAACCCCGACCGUGCUCCGCCUGUGUGGACUGCACCCUGCGAAGAUUUGAACCAGAGGUAUAGUAGGGUAUGUUAUAUCCACGUGCACUGUAUUCCAAAGCUCAUAGGUCUACGUCAAAACCCCUCCCAACUGGCUGAGAAAGUAGAGCGGAACAUCGCUCAAGUAAUCCUUUUAGCCCUGCCAGCGACUGGAUAAAUACCUCUUUGGCCGAGUGGAAAGGUCAUUGGCGGUACACAUUGUUCUGCCGUACGAUUACAUGAUGGGCAGACUUCAUGCAACAAUUAAUAACAAUGGGUCAAGGAGCAGUUAAAUAUUGGCUACAUGUAUGUUGUCUUAUCUGUGAGAAGAAACAUUUUCACAGUCAAUCGAAGCUAAGUUUUGAGGUCGCCACUUGGAGACGCUCUCUCCCUUACUGCACCAUCAAAUUGUGCGAAGAAUGACUAUGCGAAGGCCAAGGUUGUAUCUAGUAUCUUCCUUCCUAGGCGGAGUUUAAGGAGCUGAGGAGCUGCAUACGGCCUGUACGCGCGCUCGUGAAGUGGACUUCAGAUUCUAUGCACGAGGCGCCUCAUCCGCUGUAAAAAUAUAUACUGUAUGAGCGGUUUACGCCGUAUACGCCAUUACUGGCAGGAGGGCAAGGUAUGGAGAGCCUCAUGCG